GGCAAUGUUGCAUAGUGGUGAGGGGCAGGGCUUGUAACCAAGAGGUUGCUGGUUCGAUUCCCAGCUGGGGCGCUGCCG
Non-coding RNA from Megalops atlanticus (tarpon), 78 nucleotides. Lineage: Eukaryota; Metazoa; Chordata; Actinopteri; Elopiformes; Megalopidae. The record is from the annotation of a GenBank genome assembly.